CUACCUUUGACUGAUGGAAACAUGCAAACUAGUCAAUAUUCAAUAUGGCGUUUGAACGAAUUCAUUUUAUUCCUCCUGUCAUUGAAGAUAACCCAAACGGCUGGGGUCCUACCUCUGUUUCAGAUGCAUUUAAAGGAAUACCUUAUCAACCAUUCUCUAAAGGAGAUAAACUUGGCAAGAUAAAUACUUAAAUCAAUUUGGUGGUGGUAAUCAAUAUGCAUAUUAUCACGAAGAAGAUGAAUCAACUUUCCAUCUUGUUGACACAAGUCGACCACAAAAGCCUGUUUACAUGCGCAAUAGGAACAAAUUCAAUCAGAGGAAUAAUCAACGUGAUAAACUAGAUCAAGCAUGACUUUGGUCUAGCUUAAACGAGCAAUCACUGGAGAAAUAUCUUCAUAGCUUCAUUGGGCAUAAACAAUUGCUUUUUCAGUAUUAUGAGCAGGAUGCAUUGUUAUUGGAUGAUGAACAAUCUAGUAUGUUACCAAUGAUGGCUGCUGGCUUAAGUUCAAUUCUUUUUGCAAUUGACAUUGACAAAGCUGAGUUUAACUCUAUUACUGUACAGAUUCCAGGAAAUAUCAGCCAAGCAGUUUCUCGUCCAACAUCAAUAUGGGCUGUACCAUCACCAAUG
Xenia sp. Carnegie-2017 is the source of this 628-nucleotide long non-coding RNA. RefSeq lists it as uncharacterized. The record is from RefSeq and is a predicted model, not a curated record. NCBI's taxonomy places the organism in Eukaryota, Metazoa, Cnidaria, Anthozoa, Malacalcyonacea, Xeniidae. The transcript is spliced from 6 exons.